UGAGGAAUUUUCCGCAAUGGGCGAAAGCCUGACGGAGCAAUGCCGCGUGAAGGAUGAAGGCCUUUGGGUUGUAAACUUCUUUUCUUAGUGAAGAAUCAAGACGGUAAUUAAGGAAUAAGCAUCGGCUAACUCCGUGCCAGCAGCCGCGGUAAUACGGAGGAUGCAAGCGUUAUCCGGAAUUAUUGGGCGUAAAGCGUCUGUAGGUCGUUUUUUAAGUCUGCUGUUAAAGAUUAAGGCUUAACCUUAAUAAAGCAGCAUGAAACUAAAGAAAUUGAGUUUGGUAGAGGUAGAGGGAAUUCUCGGUGUAGUAGUGAAAUGCGUAGAUAUCGAGAGGAACACCAAUGGCGAAAGCACUCUACUAGGCCAUAACUGACACUGAGAGACGAAAGCUAGGGGAGCAAAUGGGAUUAGAUACCCCCGUAGUCC
RNAcentral lists this ribosomal RNA (426 nucleotides) under uncultured prokaryote. RNAcentral describes it as "bacterial SSU rRNA". It matches the Rfam family "Bacterial small subunit ribosomal RNA", at positions 355 to 796 of the family's 1533-position model. The record is from RNAcentral.